This 492-nucleotide ribosomal RNA is filed under the name uncultured bacterium. RNAcentral describes it as "partial 16S ribosomal RNA". It matches the Rfam family "Bacterial small subunit ribosomal RNA", at positions 29 to 507 of the family's 1533-position model. The record is from RNAcentral.
AGUGAACGCUGGCGGUAGGCCUAACACAUGCAAGUCGAACGGCAGCACAGUAAGAGCUUGCUCUUACGGGUGGCGAGUGGCGGACGGGUGAGGAAUACAUCGGAAUCUACUUUUUCGUGGGGGAUAACGUAGGGAAACUUACGCUAAUACCGCAUACGACCUACCGGUGAAAGCAGGGGAUCUUCGGACCUUUCGCGAUUGAAUGAGCCGAUGUCGGAUUAGCUAGUUGGCGGGGUAAAGGCCCACCAAGGCGACGAUCCGUAGCUGGUCUGAGAGGAUGAUCGGCCACACUGGAACUGAGACACGGUCCAGACUCCUACGGGAGGCAGCAGUGGGGAAUAUUGGGCAAUGGGCGAAAGCCUGAUCCAGCCAUACCGCGUGGGUGAAGAAGGCCUUCGGGUUGUAAAGCCCUUUUGUUGGGAAAGAAAAGCAGCAGGUUAAUACGCCGCUGUUCUGACGGUACCCAAAGAAUAAGCACCGGCUAACUUCGUG